ACGAAUUCAGAUCUCUCCAACGCC
RNAcentral lists this non-coding RNA (24 nucleotides) under Arabidopsis thaliana (thale cress). The record is from RNAcentral. Lineage: Eukaryota; Viridiplantae; Streptophyta; Magnoliopsida; Brassicales; Brassicaceae.